CUUGGGUAAUUGAGCAUAGCUUAUGUUAUGUUAGGAAGGUCCAUGCUCGCACAGACUGCGAUGUCUGUAGUGUUUGUGCUCGCUGAAAAAAUAAGGCGGGGUACCGAUUUAUUCGGUAACGGCGGAAGAAACGACUACGGUUUUUUACUAUGUCCGAGUAUUCCUGAAAAGUGCCACAGUGACGAUACAAUAAGGGAAACUUUAUUGGUGGAACGCGGUAAACCCCUCAAGCGGUAAACCCAAACUACGGUAGGGGAGCUUUGGAUAACGAAUUGAAGUGAUUCCAGGGGAGAGCUUAAUGCUCUGAGAUAGAUGAUUACCUCGGUAUAACUUUUACCUGAUAGUUAUACUACGACAAAACAUGGCCUACAG
RNAcentral lists this RNase P RNA (372 nucleotides) under Limosilactobacillus vaginalis. RNAcentral describes it as "Bacterial RNase P class B". It matches the Rfam family "Bacterial RNase P class B". Rfam says of the family: Ribonuclease P (RNase P) is a ubiquitous endoribonuclease, found in archaea, bacteria and eukarya as well as chloroplasts and mitochondria. RNAcentral also lists the same sequence under 1 other name. The record is from RNAcentral. Lineage: Bacteria; Bacillati; Bacillota; Bacilli; Lactobacillales; Lactobacillaceae.